GCCGCGUGUAUGAAGAAGGCCUUCGGGUUGUAAAGUACUUUCAGCGGGGAGGAAGGUGUUGUGGUUAAUAACCGCAGCAAUUGACGUUACCCGCAGAAGAAGCACCGGCUAACUCCGUGCCAGCAGCAGCAGCUCUGGCGAAUCCGGGC
This 149-nucleotide ribosomal RNA is filed under the name Salmonella enterica subsp. enterica serovar Montevideo. Its description in RNAcentral is "partial 16S ribosomal RNA". It matches the Rfam family "Bacterial small subunit ribosomal RNA", at positions 396 to 539 of the family's 1533-position model. The record is from RNAcentral. Lineage: Bacteria; Pseudomonadati; Pseudomonadota; Gammaproteobacteria; Enterobacterales; Enterobacteriaceae.